This 870-nucleotide long non-coding RNA is filed under the name Sorghum bicolor (sorghum). RNAcentral's name for it is "long non-coding RNA (SBIC_LNC002693)". Lineage: Eukaryota; Viridiplantae; Streptophyta; Magnoliopsida; Poales; Poaceae. The record is from RNAcentral.
AUGCACUUUUCUUAAUUCAUAAUUAUCUUAAAUUAACUAAUUAUUAAACCUAUUUAUCUUAAUUACCUCUUAAUUAAUCACUAAUGACAGUAAUUAAGCAUUAAGGCCAAACAAUAAUUAAAUGCCAAAGGUCAUUAGGGUUAAUGACCUCAGGUCAUCACACAAUCCCAAAGUCACUCAAACCCUAAUCAUGAGGAUUUAACUAAUCAUUGUUUAAUUAUUUUGGAAUUAUCAUUUACUUACUAAAUAAGGGUUUAAUAAUAUUUCAUUCAAACAUUAUCCAAAUGCCACUAAAUCUUGUGUGAAGCCUGGAAACAAAUAAAUUAUUAAAAAUUCCUAGAAGUUUUAUUCACUAAUUAAGAGUCAAAUUUUUAUAGACAUGCAAACUACCAGGGAAAUAAUACCUAGUAUUUUUCUUAUGCCCUAACCAUUUUAUGGAAGCUAUACAAAAAUUCUCAUGAUUUUUGGAUCAACACAAAAUUUACUAUUCAAAUUCAAAUAUCAACAUUUUUAAACAAAAAGGAAAAAAAAAGAAAAAGGGCACUGUGCGCUGGGGGCCUGCUUGGACGCAGCCCACUCUGGCCCGAGCGCUUCCCGCGCCCAGCGCCCUCUCCCUCUCUCUCUCACGCGGUCGCUGACGGGCGGGUCCCGCCCGUCAGCUCCGUCUCCUUCCUAGCGCCGCGGCUCCGGCGAGCUCCAGCAUGCCGUUGGCGAGCUCUCGGCCUCCGCGGUGAGACGCGUUAGCUUCCUCAACCUCCCGCGCACCCAGAGACACCCUUUUCACCCACUCUCCUCUAUCCUAACCCCCGUGGCCACGGGCACGGCGGACGUCCGCCUCGACCGAGCAAACGUCGGCCACUACAAGCGAGU